GUAUUGCCCAUGUAGGUUAUGUGUGUGUCCACAUAGAUUUGUCUAAAUGUGUGGUUCAUGGGAAGACUUUGAUAGACAUCUUGGGAAUCUUGCUCAUCUUUCUCCAAAAGAGAUUUUGAUUCUUGCCUGGAUAGGAGCAGAAGGUGCCAUGAGGUCAGCUAAUUCUGCUCUCCUUAGAGGAACGUCCCCUUCCCCCUUGUGCCCAUAUUGGUAGUAUAAAAGAAAUGAUUUUUUUUCCUGAAGUUUAAGACGCUUUCCUGGUCAGUAUCCUUUAAAGAGCAAUGGAUGCCCGAAGCUUUACAACUUUCUGUAAAAUGCUUGCUCCACAAAAGACCAUCACAAAUUGUGAAUAGUUAGCAAACCUAUUUAUCCAAGCAGAUAGCAAACAACAAUUAGAAGUUACUAGAAUUAGAUUAGAACAUACCAGCCAAUAAUUCACAGAGUGAAUAAGCUCUCCCACUGAGAGUGAGAUAUCUCAGCUCAAGUGAGAGAGAAUCCCCAAUAAUAACCAAAGGGAAAUUCCCUAAAGUCUCUCGGGAAAUGGGCUGGAAAUCAGAGAAAUUUUUAGCAAACUAGCUUUCCCCUACAUGUAUGCCUUCCAGAACCUGUUUUCUUUCUCUGAAUUUCUCCCCAAAGUGGAUCUAGAACCCUGUGUCUUCCCUCAAAGAAAGAAGAAUGUUUCCCCUCUCAUUCUUUCCACCAGUGAGAAGAACCUUAUUAUGGAAAUCUAGGCUUGACCCUGGUUACAUUCACAAUAUCAACAGUAACAACAAUAAUACAAGCUUAAUCCAUCACUUAACCUCAUAUUUACAGGGGAGCAGACACUGGAGUAACACAACAACCAGCCAUUCAGAAGGAUUUUGAAGCCCAGGGCUGCUUGACGUGCCAGUGAUCCUCUGCAAGCUGAAUUUGGAGAUGCCUGUAGCUUCCAGAAACUACAGAACCAGCCUUGGCUGGCUCAAAGACAACCUUGAGACCUUGCUUGGGACUUUGUAAACAUCCUGCUUCCUGACUUAUUGUGUCCACAGAUAUCUUCUCCUUUAACCCCCACUCCCUUCCCAAAAGCCUCUAAAAACUAUUAAUAUCUCACUCUUUUCCACACCCCCUUUGAGCAGCUGAGAAUUCUCUCUCCCUCUCUGGUCUCUUGCAAGUUCUCAGAUAAACGCUUUUGUAAUUUGU
Long non-coding RNA from Vombatus ursinus (common wombat), 1179 nucleotides. RefSeq lists it as uncharacterized. The record is from RefSeq and is a predicted model, not a curated record. The transcript has 2 exons. NCBI's taxonomy places the organism in Eukaryota, Metazoa, Chordata, Mammalia, Diprotodontia, Vombatidae.